Molecule: ribosomal RNA, 253 nt
Filed under: uncultured bacterium
Lineage: Bacteria
Description: partial 16S ribosomal RNA
Rfam family: Bacterial small subunit ribosomal RNA
Source: RNAcentral
UACGGGGGGGGCAAGCGUUGUUCGGAAUUACUGGGCGUAAAGGGCUCGUAGGCGGCCAACUAAGUCAGACGUGAAAUCCCGCGGCUUAACCGGGGAACUGCAUCUGAUACUGGAUGGCUUGAGUUCGGGAGAGGGAUGCGGAAUUCCAGGUGUAGCGGUGAAAUGCGUAGAUAUCUGGAGGAACACCGGUGGCGAAGGCGGCAUCCUGGACCGGCACUGACGCUGAGGAGCGGAAGCCAGGGGAGCAAACGGG